UGGGUAGGAAAAAGAAGAGGAUAGAUCCAAGAUUGUGGUCAACUUCCGGAGGAAGGUUGAAAAAGAGUGAGAGCGUUUCAGUUCGUGUAUAGGGGCGGGGACUUGGACUGGAGACAAAGAAAAGAGUUUUGCUUCUGAAGAAUAGUAAGCAGCAUUACAUAUUAGCAUAUAGAGAGAACUUGGACAAUAACGUACUUCGACGUCAGCUGUUACUUGUUGAUACACUUAGUACCAUUGGUAAUGGAUUAUGUAUGCCUCUACUAAUCCUAGGCUUCGAAGGUCUAAUUCAUCCUUUUGGAAAAAUUGGGAAUAGCAAGAGGGUGGCUAACGCAGUUUGUAAGUGGGCGGUAAAGGAUCGGAAAGGGUAUACCCAACAACAACUUGACGAGGUCCGCAUUGAAGUGGCCGACUACUUACAGACUCUGCUGUAGGUUCUGACCAGUUUCUUGAUUUUGAGUUAGA
Molecule: long non-coding RNA, 462 nt
Organism: Rosa chinensis
Lineage: Eukaryota; Viridiplantae; Streptophyta; Magnoliopsida; Rosales; Rosaceae
Exons: 6
Source: RefSeq, a predicted model, not a curated record